AUGCCUGCAUCGGCAACCUUGCUGCAACCAAGGCCGCAUCCUUGACCACUGGGCUUUCAGGCGUGAGUCACCACGGCCGGCCACGGGAGUUUUCUCUAUGGAAAUACCGCGUGGACCUUGUGCCGUGGAGUCCGGCGUGGAGCUGUCAGGCUGUGACCGGAAGCUGGAGCUUUAGGAUUCUGCUUAGUUCAUUUAGACUCCGGUGGCCCUGGCUCGCUCGUCGCUGCCACAUCGCCCGCCGAGCACAGCGAAUUCUGAGGAAGGAAGUCGCCAGAUCGGCUCCCACAGAGGAAACCCGUCCCUCCUGUUCCUACAACAAGAGGAAAGUGAUUUGAAGCAUCCACUUCAAGGAGAAGUCUGAGUGCGGAGAUCUCCUCAUCUGCAGCCACCUCUCCCGGCCAGGCCCCAUCACUGACAUCCCUGGGCAGGGAAAGGGACGCGAAGGGACGAACGUGCGAAGAGACAGGUGGAGAGCAGUUCCCUGCCUUCUUUACCACGCCUUGCUCGGGAUGUCUGUUCCCACUGCUUUAAGAAGCGUCCGGAGACAGUGAGAGGUGGCUCAGAGCGUGUCUGCCUCCAAGCCUGAUGACUUGAAUUUGGUAAAAGGAGAGUGUUCCUGCAAGCUGUCCUCUGCCCCCGUCCCCAAGCCGUAUCAAAAUGCAGUUUCUAGAGGAGCAUCAGGCGGGUGGGCUAGCAGGUGGCAGCGGCUCCCGACAUGGGCCUGGAUUUAAACGAUGAGGUUUAGGACGGUGUCUCCCCUCCACUGUGUUUUCAGGGGGCCUGGGGCAUAAGGGGCGU
Molecule: long non-coding RNA, 798 nt
Organism: Meriones unguiculatus (Mongolian gerbil)
Lineage: Eukaryota; Metazoa; Chordata; Mammalia; Rodentia; Muridae
Exons: 3
Source: RefSeq, a predicted model, not a curated record